CUGGUCUACAGAGCGAGUGCCAGGAUAGGCUCCAAAGUUACAGAGGAACUUUACCUCAGAAAAAAAAAAAGAGUUCCAAGAGUCUGGAACUCAGGACUCGGAGGAUGUGUUGGACUGACUGAUGCUACAGAGCGUUGGGAAAACUGCAAAGUGGCUUCAGCUGCUGCCAACGAAGGCACUGCAAAUGCCAGGUCGAAGAAGUGUUGCUAGGGCGACGCUACAGGAACAGGAAGCCACUAGGAAUCAGCAAGUCCCCUCUUCCUGCGGCUGCUUUCCCAUCGUCUGCCCUGUACUCUUCCGGGCAGCACACAUCAGGAAGCGGCUGUGGUCUUCCGAGCCAGCUCCGGCGUCACACACACGGCAUGGAAGGCGGAUGUGGCAUUAAGAGGCAAUAGCUUCGCUAACAGAAAGACAGACUAACACAAGUGAAGGAAUGCUCAAACUUCCAGAGCUAAAGGAUACAGUUGAAAGGGCCAGAGAAGUGAGCCUGCUGGAAGAAAGGCCCCGCUUAAAACCACAGGGCCCCUUGGGGGCUGCAGAGAUGGUUCAGCAGUGAAGAACACCGGACUGCACUUCCAGAGGACCACGGUUCAAUUCCCAACACCAACAGCCUGUGACUCCAGCUCUGUCUGGGCCCAUCGGAAUGACUCCACUUCAUCUUGACUUAAGGGCUGAGUUACAGAGCCACACUGUGCCGUGAAGGAAGCCGGAAAGUUCCAGUUCUAGCAGACCAGCUACUCUCCAAUUGCUUCUCUACUACCAGCAACAAACAGGAGGAGGGCUUUUGAUGGCCAACUAUUGAUUCUACCUCACUCCCAUUUUCUGCACCUAGGUGCCUUCUUUUGUAAAAUGGUUAAGACUGCUUUGAGACUCACAUCCAAUGAUGCACCAAGUGUAAGAAUGCCUUCUUGUUUUUCCAUCAAGUCCACAAAAUGCAUAGUAUAUUUCAGACCCUAGUAAAAAGGCCCACAUCUAUCAGUAUAUAUACACUGAACAACAAAGCCUGUUUCAUAUAUCACCAAGCCUUUUCUCCUAUUUCUUUCCAGUUGCUUCAAUAACUUAGACUCCUUUCUGUUUGGGAAAAAAAGGGGGUGGUGGAAUAUGUGUCAAUAUAUCAGUCAGGACUCUUUAGGUUGCCAAGUGAAAGUCUGCCACUAUGAAACUUGCUUAAGCAACAAGACGGACCAUCUUACA
This 1194-nucleotide long non-coding RNA is filed under the name Cricetulus griseus (Chinese hamster). RNAcentral's name for it is "lncRNA (ENSCGRG00015040818.1)". The record is from RNAcentral. Lineage: Eukaryota; Metazoa; Chordata; Mammalia; Rodentia; Cricetidae.